AACUUUUAUGUAUUAUAAUAAAAAAUAAACUUUCAACAACGGAUCUCUUGGCUCUCGCAUCGAUGAAGAACGCAGCGAAAUGCGAUAAGUAGUGUGAAUUGCAGAACUUUGUGAACCAUCGAAUCUUUGAACGCAAAUUGCGCCUUCUUUCGGAAGGCAUGUCUGUUUGAGGGCACCAUU
This 180-nucleotide ribosomal RNA is filed under the name Paraglomus brasilianum. RNAcentral's name for it is "5.8S ribosomal RNA". The stretch from base 28 to 176 matches the Rfam family "5.8S ribosomal RNA". From Rfam's summary of the family: 5.8S ribosomal RNA (5.8S rRNA) is a component of the large subunit of the eukaryotic ribosome. Lineage: Eukaryota; Fungi; Glomeromycota; Glomeromycetes; Paraglomerales; Paraglomeraceae. The record is from RNAcentral.